AUCAAUAAAAUCUGAUCUGACAAUGUCGUAUCAUUAGAGUAUUUUCCCAGAGAUCAACAAUGUGCAAUAAUUACAAUAAUCUGACCCGUAGAUGAAGACUGUUCAUUGUGAUCCACUUUCACACACAGGCUGUUGGGUCGCGUCCAGAACAAACGAGGUGUGUGUCAGUGUUUACAUACCACACUGAGACAUGAUUGGCAUUUGGCAUGAAGCUUCCUCUGCUAAAAGGAUUACACAAGUUAAGCACAGACAGGUCUACUUCAGCUUCUGCCGCUGGUAUUUUAUAUUUAUAGAGAAACAUGUUGCAGGAGAGUUAGCUCGAUAGCACAUUAGCCAAUAAAACCAUCUGGACAGUGCUGAGGGAGAGAGCCUCAACGUUAGCUGUAUUAUUACACCAAAUACGUUUAACUUCAUUUUCAAAUAGCAACCAAGCUAAUGAGCUUCCAAGCUACAGUAGCUGUCUUUAAAGUGCCAACAGGAACUACUUCAACUAAACGGAGAAAGCUUUCAUAUUACGGCUACACCUAAAAUCUACAGAUUUGUUUCAGUCUGCGUCCAUUAAACAUCAGCGUGGAUGUGAACGUUCCUCCAGCUCAUUACAAACAGCACAGCGCCCUCCAGUGGCCGGACGCUGAACCACACCCUGUCUGUAGACACACUGCCAGAGAGUGCACGCUCCUGCAUCGAGCGUGAAGUAACUUCCUGUCUUUGAACCACAAUGCGACGAUGGCGGAGCAAAACCCAGAAGAAGAAGAGGCAGCUUCCAGCGACAACCCCUGGACACAUCUGGACACAUCUGGACUCUUUUAAUACUGAACACUGAAAAACACAGAAAUCUUUCAGCUUUUAAAAGCACAUUAAAGUUUCAGUCUGUAGGUGAACAGGCAGCUCCAUAAUGCUCAGAGUGUUAAAUGUCUAAUAUACAUUUAUAAUAUUAUUAUUAUAAUAUUAACUCUGACUGAAGCUCCUAAGAUAACAUAAUGCUAACUUCAGUUCUUUACUUACACCAGAUGGAUGAAUUAUU
Molecule: long non-coding RNA, 1024 nt
Organism: Dicentrarchus labrax (European seabass)
Lineage: Eukaryota; Metazoa; Chordata; Actinopteri; Moronidae
Exons: 3
Source: RefSeq, a predicted model, not a curated record